CGCAACUGAAAGGCUGAGACUGUGUUUUCUGUUGGUUGUACACAUGUCCGGGCUUGUCCAGAGGCCAGUAAAGUCUGUGAGCUGGACGGACAGAGAGGCCCCCUGGGAAGGAGAGAGAAAGGAGGUGGAAGAAGCCUAACAGUCUGUCUAAGCCAGGGCCACGGUCAGUGUUGGAAGGAAGGAGGCUGCAGAGAGUGAGUGGGUCGUUCAAGAGCUCUCUUUCUCUUUCUCUCUCUCCCCCCCUCCCCCGCCCUCUCUCUCCUCUUUGACUAGGAGGAGGAGAGGAGGUGGUUAUGUGACAGAGCAGAAUCCAGUUCUGUGAAGGAAAAAGAGCACAAAGGCUGUAGGACUCUGUGAGGCAGAACUCAGUGGAGCUGGGAGAGUUUUCCAGGAAGCUGUGGUUAUAACCACCUCCCACACCUUCCUCUGCUGUGGACCGAGACUGGGGCGUCUGCAGUUCGGGUGACAUGAAUAGAGGCUCUUCACGCCCACUCCCAGGACCUGCCUGAACCCGGGGUCUGCUCUCUGCCUGCUCUUCUUCUUUUUACCGUCCGAUCUAGCUGAUUGGAAAAGAAAAAAAAGGCCGUGCUCAUUGUUUGAGACCAGGACCUGAAAGAAACUUGGCUGAGGGUGAACCACAUGUGGACAAAUGAGAUUAGAAAAAGCAUGACCCAAAUUAACCUUCUUGCCAAGCUCCUGAGAUGGUGCAGGGGGAGAGGUGUGCUGACAGAAGCACACAGAAACCUCUGGCAGGCGGUGGCAGCCCUGGGGGUGCCCACUGGGAUCUCCUCGGCACCACCCACCUCCCCGCCUCGUUCUUGCACUUGACACCAGACGCAGCCAUACUUGGACCGCCUGCUUCAUUGUUUGUGCCAAGAGACCCGCGAAGUCAGGCCAGAACUUUCUUCCUGCAUGCGAAA
This is a long non-coding RNA of Phacochoerus africanus (Common warthog), 920 nucleotides long. RefSeq lists it as uncharacterized. NCBI's taxonomy places the organism in Eukaryota, Metazoa, Chordata, Mammalia, Artiodactyla, Suidae. The record is from RefSeq and is a predicted model, not a curated record. The transcript is spliced from 4 exons.